Molecule: long non-coding RNA, 1076 nt
Filed under: Acanthaster planci (crown-of-thorns starfish)
Lineage: Eukaryota; Metazoa; Echinodermata; Asteroidea; Valvatida; Acanthasteridae
Description: uncharacterized LOC110977968, transcript variant X3
Source: RNAcentral
CGCACCGGGGUGUCGUGCUGUCAAGUCGUGUCGUCGUAUCGUGCCGUCGUGCCUGACAGUUUCUAAAAAGGCUGUUGAUUACUAAGGCUAAUAGAGGGUUUAUGUUACAAGUCCUGGAAAAAAUAACGUGCUAGUAUAGGGUUACACCCAUUGAUCUCCAAUUUUUGUGGAUGGGACAUCACGUCCAAAACGCGUCCCGCACGUGCAUAUUUUCGGGAGGGUAAAUAACAAGCGUUGCGAAUGUUGUUGCGUGCACUUUCAAACGGAGAUUUCAAAACUGCUGGUUGAGGUUAUUGCACUUCAAUCGUCAGAUUUCUAAGAAAAACUGAUUUCUGUCCCUGGAAUGGAUAAAUUUGGAAAGAAUGAUGGUUGAGGUGUGCGCAGCAGAGAAAUUGCCGGAGAUCGAUGAUUUCACUGGAAAAAUCUCAAAGAAAGCCAUGAUUUGUGUAAGUGAGAUCUGCAGACGCAUUGAACCCAAAUCGUGUGACAGACGAUGAGAUAUGAAUGACGGAGUCUCCAUCUUUAAGGGUAUCCCGUAAUUCUACCCAUUUGCUACUGGCGGGGUGGCUACUGUCCCAGUUCUUUACGAUUCUGAUUUUGACCUGACUUCGAUGAAUGCUAGCCUCAACCAUCACCUACUCUCCAAUGGUCGGUGCGUAGGGACCUACGCAAGAAACAUAACAAGCCCGAGGACUUCCAUCUCGCAUUCUGGUGGUCCGAUGGAUUCACCUCGUGCCGUUGCUCCAUGAUCACCAUUAUGUAUAUUGUACUUCAAAGAGCUGUGAACAAUUUAUAUUGUAUUAAUUUCGGUGCGGUGUAAUAUCUCGAGCCUUUUUCUCCACUUAUGGGAUAAUCACGUAAUGAUUUCUCACUGGGCCCGUUAAAGUGACCGAUAAGGGAGUGUAAAUGCUUCAGUUUAGUUCAUUUCUUUCUUGAAAUGUAUAGUUCAUCUUUAUGUAUUUUGUGUUCUUUUGUAAAUAAAUGUAAAUAUUGUGUAGCCAAAACAAAUUUCCAGUAACAGGUAUGUAUAUAUUCGUGUCUAAACUACCAAAGGUCUGUCCCUAAGGGUAGGUCAA